AUAUGAUCAAAGAUGCUCCUGAUAUGCUGCAUGUCAUAAAAAAUAUCCGGUCAGUAUAUCCCCUGAUUCAGAGCCUUUUCACCCAGUGGUAGGUCUCAGGGAGCUGC
Alosa sapidissima (American shad) is the source of this 107-nucleotide long non-coding RNA. RefSeq lists it as uncharacterized. The record is from RefSeq and is a predicted model, not a curated record. Lineage: Eukaryota; Metazoa; Chordata; Actinopteri; Clupeiformes; Clupeidae. The transcript has 3 exons.